Molecule: RNA transcript, 2521 nt
Organism: Theobroma umbraticum
Lineage: Eukaryota; Viridiplantae; Streptophyta; Magnoliopsida; Malvales; Malvaceae
Gene name: O-fucosyltransferase family protein
Source: RefSeq, a predicted model, not a curated record
AUUUAGAUAAAUGUCACCAGUUUCUGUGAAUACUCUUUUAUAUCAAAGAUAGGCCAUUGUCCCCACGAGGAGCGAGGACCCCAGUUUGAUUAAACCCCGGUUGUGGCAGUGGCAUGGCCAUGGCGUCGGCGGAUGUUGAUGGUUGAGAUUAUCAAGUGGCAAAGGAAAAGGAGUGAAAGCUGGCUGGUUUUAUAGUGCGCAGUGCGCAUCCUCCAUUAAAGUCGUUCCCCCUUGGGCAAACCAAAGCAGCGGCUGGCCUUUGUCCGUGAUCCCUGAGGCACCGACCUUUUUUUUUUUAGAAAAUGAGGCAUUUUCUUGCUGAAGAAUUAAGCACUUACUUUUGCCGCCAGAUCUUAGCUCGUGCCUAGGGUUUUCUCCAUUACAUCCUACUCUUUUUUUCUUUUUUAAAAUGCACGGCCUAAGCCGCCUCGGGACCGGUAGUAACCGUUCGGUCUCCCCUUCCCCGCCUUCCUCGCCGCGGUUCCGCCAUGGCCGUUACAAGAACUUUAGUGGAGCUGGAGGAGGUGCGGGUGGUGGACGUGGCGGGAAGCAGAGCGCGGCGGAUAGGAUAGUGUUUGUGUUGAUAUCGACAGUGUUUCGAAGAAAAGGCGUGCUUCUGUUUGCGCCCUUGUUGUACAUUUCGGGAAUGCUGUUGUUCAUGGGCACGUUAGGUUUCGAUGUUGUGAGUUUGAAAAAUGCGGUUGUUGUUGUCCACAAGCGAUCGCCACCAGGGUCGGUUUAUCGGAGUCCUCAGGUUUUUCAGAAUCUUUGGCCGUUUAUGGAGGCUGAGCGCAAUGCCAGUUACAAUGCGUUGAUGACAGCGUGGAAUCUGAAAAUUCAUCAAGGAUGGAAGCCAUGUGCCAGCUCUAUUAUCUCUAGAACAGGUUUUUCAGAGUUGCCAAAGUCUAACGGUUUCCUUAUAAUUGAAGCAAAUGGUGGCUUAAAUCAACAACGCUUAUCGAUAUGUGAUGCAGUGGCAGUGGCGUGGCUGCUAAAUGCAACUCUUCUCAUUCCCAUCUUUCACUUAAACAGUGUUUGGCGAGAUUCCAGCAAGUUUGGAGAUAUAUUUGAUGAAGAAUUCUUCGUACAUGCUCUUAAAAAUCAUGUGAAUGUGGUCAGAGAGCUCCCAGAAGAUGUACUUCAAAGGUUUGACAGUAACAUCAGCAAUAUUGUUAAUUUGAGAGUAAAAGGUUGGUCAAGUCCAGCCCAUUAUCUUCAGAAGGUUCUUCCAAAACUAGAGGCAAUGGGGGCUGUUCGCAUUGCACCCUUUUCUAACCGGUUGGCAUAUUCAGUUUCUUCAAACAUACAAGGGCUUAGGUGCUUAUCCAAUUUUGAAGCACUGAGGUUUUCUGAUCCUAUAAGGAUGCUUGCUGAUAAAAUGGUUGAGAGGAUGGUCAAGAAUAGCUCCCAUAGUGGAGGAAAAUAUGUUUCAGUGCAUCUUCGGUUUGAAAUGGACAUGGUUGCAUUUUCAUGCUGUGAAUAUGAUGGUGGGGAAGAAGAGAGACAUGAGAUGGAUAUUGCUCGAGAAAGAAGUUGGAGAGGAAAAUUUAGGCGAAGGGGCAGAGUUAUAAGGCCAGGUGUAAAUCGUAUGGAUGGAAAAUGCCCUUUAACUCCUUUGGAGGUCGGAAUGAUGCUUAGGGGCAUGGGUUUCGAUAAUAAUACAUCAGUAUUUGUCGCAGCAGGAAAUAUUUACAAAGCAGAAAAAUACAUGGCUCCACUUAAACAGAUGUUUCCGCGUUUAGAAACAAAAGAUACGCUGGCUACUCCAGAGGAACUUGCUCCAUUCAAGGGCCACUCGUCGAGGUUAGCUGCACUUGACUACACGGUUUGCCUUCACAGCGAAGUAUUUGUCACAACACAAGGUGGAAACUUUCCCCACUUCUUAAUGGGUCACCGACGCUAUCUAUAUGCAGGACAUGCGAAAACAAUUAAGCCUGACAAGAGGAAAUUAGCACUGCUUUUUGAUAACCCUCAUAUUAGAUGGGAAACCUUCAAACGGCAGAUGAGAGAUAUGCUUCGGCACAGUGAUGGGAAGGGAGGUGAAGUGAAGAAAGCAAGUGGUUCAGUGUACACAUUUCCCAUGCCAGAUUGCAUGUGUAAACAAACAGAAGAAGAAAAAGAAAGGAAUGAAAACAGUAACACAACAAAACUUAGUUAUUGAACAGCCAGUAGCCCUAGGUUAAGAUUUUUCCACACAACCUGUAAUUCAUAAUUGUAUCAAGCAAUUGAGUUCAAAGAGUAAUUCUUUUGAUUUGUUUAGGUUAAUAGUUUCAGGUGUUCAUUCUUUUGAGAUUCAGCUCUUCACCAUAAUUUAUCACACUGUAAAAUUUGUUGUAUAUGAUAGUAUAACAGGUUAUUGGAGUUUCAAGUAAUGUGAGUUAGAUCAUAUCAAGCAAGAAAAAGAUGUAAAAGAAUCAAGACCAAUGGCAGGCUUUGAAUCCAUCCAUCCAUCCAUCCAACCAUUUUUUGGUACAAGAAACAAGGCAAACAGAACAUGGGAGGAUCAUGAAAAUACUUGGAU